Delphinella strobiligena is the source of this 108-nucleotide non-coding RNA. The record is from the annotation of a GenBank genome assembly. NCBI's taxonomy places the organism in Eukaryota, Fungi, Ascomycota, Dothideomycetes, Dothideales, Dothioraceae.
GGCGCUUUGGCCGAGCGGUCUAAGGCGAGAGACUAGAAUAUUCUCUUCGAGUUAAAUAUCUGAUAUCUCUUAUCUUCGGAUGCGCAGGUUCAAAUCCUGCAGGCGUCG